Molecule: transfer RNA, 66 nt
Filed under: Dipodomys ordii (Ord's kangaroo rat)
Lineage: Eukaryota; Metazoa; Chordata; Mammalia; Rodentia; Heteromyidae
Rfam family: tRNA
About the family: Transfer RNA (tRNA) molecules are approximately 80 nucleotides in length. Their secondary structure includes four short double-helical elements and three loops (D, anti-codon, and T loops). Further hydrogen bonds mediate the characteristic L-shaped molecular structure. tRNAs have two regions of fundamental functional importance: the anti-codon, which is responsible for specific mRNA codon recognition, and the 3' end, to which the tRNAs corresponding amino acid is attached (by aminoacyl-tRNA synthetases). tRNAs cope with the degeneracy of the genetic code in two manners: having more than one tRNA (with a specific anti-codon) for a particular amino acid; and 'wobble' base-pairing, i.e. permitting non-standard base-pairing at the 3rd anti-codon position.
Source: Rfam by way of RNAcentral
GGUUGGCUCAGUGGUAGAGUGCUUGCCUUGCAUGCAUGAGGCCCUGGGUUUGAUUCCUCAGUACCA